CAAAGUAUUAGAGAAAGAUGAGUAAACAGAUUUAUCUACGCUUAGAGAGUUUCCGGUUGGUGGAAGGAAAUCGAGGUAAUCGUUGAAGAUGGUCUUUCAAUUUAUUCAGCGGAUUUGUGAGCAUUUAGUUAGCAAAUCAUGGGAGCGCCCAUUACAGCGCACGGGUUGAUUGACCCGCAGAGUUCGUUGACCGUAAGGCAACGAAAAAACAAGGUGGUAACACGACAGACUUUCGUCCUUGAA
RNAcentral lists this non-coding RNA (243 nucleotides) under Pediococcus pentosaceus. RNAcentral's name for it is "T-box sequence". It matches the Rfam family "T-box leader". Rfam says of the family: Uncharged tRNA acts as the effector for transcription antitermination of genes in the T-box leader family. T-boxes are found upstream of many aminoacyl-tRNA synthetase genes and some amino acid biosynthetic genes usually in Gram-positive bacteria. The anticodon of a specific tRNA base pairs to a specifier sequence within the T-box motif, and the NCCA acceptor tail of the tRNA base pairs to a conserved bulge in the T-box antiterminator hairpin. Lineage: Bacteria; Bacillati; Bacillota; Bacilli; Lactobacillales; Lactobacillaceae. The record is from RNAcentral.